This 828-nucleotide ribosomal RNA is filed under the name Lactiplantibacillus plantarum. RNAcentral describes it as "bacterial SSU rRNA". The record is from RNAcentral. Lineage: Bacteria; Bacillati; Bacillota; Bacilli; Lactobacillales; Lactobacillaceae.
CAGUAGGGAAUCUUCCACAAUGGACGAAAGUCUGAUGGAGCAACGCCGCGUGAGUKAAGAAGGGUUUCGGCUCGUAAAACUCUGUUGUUAAAGAAGAACAUAUCUGAGAGUAACUGUUCAGGUAUUGACGGUAUUUAACCAGAAAGCCACGGCUAACUACGUGCCAGCAGCCGCGGUAAUACGUAGGUGGCAAGCGUUGUCCGGAUUUAUUGGGCGUAAAGCGAGCGCAGGCGGUUUUUUAAGUCUGAUGUGAAAGCCUUCGGCUCAACCGAAGAAGUGCAUCGGAAACUGGGAAACUUGAGUGCAGAAGAGGACAGUGGAACUCCAUGUGUAGCGGUGAAAUGCGUAGAUAUAUGGAAGAACACCAGUGGCGAAGGCGGCUGUCUGGUCUGUAACUGACGCUGAGGCUCGAAAGUAUGGGUAGCAAACAGGAUUAGAUACCCUGGUAGUCCAUACCGUAAACGAUGAAUGCUAAGUGUUGGAGGGUUUCCGCCCUUCAGUGCUGCAGCUAACGCAUUAAGCAUUCCGCCUGGGGAGUACGGCCGCAAGUGAAAACUCAAAGGAAUUGACGGGGGCCCGCACAAGCGGUGGAGCAUGUGGUUUAAUUCGAAGCUACGCGAAGAACCUUACCAGGUCUUGACAUACUAUGCAAAUCUAAGAGAUUAGACGUUCCCUUCGGGGACAUGGAUACAGGUGGUGCAUGGUUGUCGUCAGCUCGUGUCGUGAGAUGUUGGGUUAAGUCCCGCAACGAGCGCAACCCUUAUUAUCAGGUUGCCAGCCUUAAGUUGGGCCCUCUGGUGGGACUGCCGGUGACAACCCGAGGAAGGU